Molecule: ribosomal RNA, 202 nt
Filed under: uncultured yeast
Lineage: Eukaryota; Fungi
Description: partial 26S ribosomal RNA
Rfam family: Eukaryotic large subunit ribosomal RNA
Source: RNAcentral
AAAAUAACAAGGAUUCCCCUAGUAGCGGCGAGUGAAGCGGGAAAAGCUCAAAUUUGUAAUCUGGCGUCUUCGACGUCCGAGUUGUAAUCUCGAGAAGUGUUUUCCGUGAUAGACCGCAUACAAGUCUCUUGGAACAGAGCGUCAUAGUGGUGAGAACCCUCUACACGAUGCGGAUGCCUAUUACUUUGUGAUAUCUUUCUAA